RNAcentral lists this small nucleolar RNA (181 nucleotides) under Otolemur garnettii (small-eared galago). RNAcentral's name for it is "Small nucleolar RNA U3". It matches the Rfam family "Small nucleolar RNA U3". From Rfam's summary of the family: Small nucleolar RNAs (snoRNAs) are involved in the processing and modification of rRNA in the nucleolus. The record is from Rfam by way of RNAcentral. Lineage: Eukaryota; Metazoa; Chordata; Mammalia; Primates; Galagidae.
GAGACAACACUUUCAGGCAUCAUUUCUAUAGUUUGUUACUAGAGAAGUUUCAGGAGGAGGUGCGGCAGGGUUUUCUGGUGAGCCUGAACCCAUCCUUGUUCUUUGGUGUUGCUUCUGACAUUUACCACCAGUGAAUGUUUGCCCUGCCUUUGGAGAGGAAUAGGGAGAGGACACAGUCUGA